Carassius gibelio (silver crucian carp) is the source of this 1565-nucleotide long non-coding RNA. RefSeq lists it as uncharacterized. The transcript has 3 exons. Lineage: Eukaryota; Metazoa; Chordata; Actinopteri; Cypriniformes; Cyprinidae. The record is from RefSeq and is a predicted model, not a curated record.
GUGUGAACAGCAGUAGGAGAAAUUAGAUUUCCUCAAUACUCAGAGCGUUAUUAUUUAAUUUGACAUGAUUUACAGCUAUAAAGAUUUUCAGCAUUCUUAUUUCAGAAUCAGUAGUCUAUUUAUACGUAGGCCUAUAUACUGCACACUACACAGAAAAAGUAUACGAAAACGGAGACACUUCAUAUUUUGAGCAGUACCAUUUUUAAUGGUAAUAAUAAUUGGAUGCUUAUUUCUUUGUACAGGUGCCUAUGUCUCAUUAAACAUACCUGCUAUUUCAAAGAUGAUCAAUCUAAGUAUAGUCGCGCCCAAAAAUGAAAUAGUAGAACAACUUUUUUACUCGUUCAUAAGCUAUAACCACAGUACUCUGGCAACAACUGAAUCCUCUCAAUGAAAGUGCAGUAGCUAUAGCUUUUCUAACUGAAGAGGUUUCUCAGGAGGCCUUCUAUGAUUGCAUUUCUCAUUAUGAAGUUUUUGUGGCGAGCCAAGAGCGUGCAGUCUCUUUUCAAAUUGGUGCAUAUUAUCUAACCACAUUAUUUUAAUGGCACUCACAAAGCAUUUUUUUUAAUCUAUUUAUUUUUUUACACCUUUCUAUGAUUGUCCACAUUUGAAUAACAUAUUGUUUUUAAAAUUCUGUUGGGGAAUAACCUGUGGACCAAAAAUAUUAUUUAGUCAUGUUUUUAUGUUGGCUAUUCAUAUUGAGGCCCUAUUGUUGCGUGAUGGAGACCCCCCAACAACCAUGUGAACACACCCGAUUCGAACGUUAUCACUCGAUUGAAUGGGGCGUUAUCAGCGGUUAUCAGCCCAUAGAAAUGGGCCAGGAGGGGCCUCCUGUGCCUACUAGUAGGCUCAGAAGGCCGUGAUCAUCCAUCCAAAUGGUUGAUCACCCACAAAUAUACAAGAGAAGACUCCAGAUCCAAUCCCAGAAUUCCUGCUCACCGGUAAUCGGAAGUCUACUGGACGAAUGCGGGAACGUUGCGAUAUUUCCUGCUUAAUAUUUUCAGGCACAAUGAAUGAUAUUAAGGGCAGGUGCGCCACAUUGGGGGAAGAUGCAAAGCAAAAAUACAUUCAAGAGGCAGCAGCACUGAGGGCACAUGGGCAGUCACAGGACACUAAACCCUGAGAUGGAGGCAAUUUGUGCUGUGUCUGCCGCAUCCAUUUUUAUGAUAAGAAGAAGAAUGCAAGAAAGAAGUGGCAUUCAUGGUCUCAGUGCACAGUGUGCCAAUCAUGGUCACACACAGCACGUGGCUUUAAAAAGAACAUGUGCGUUCACUGCAAAUGUGAAGACACCAUGCAAACACCCUGAAUAUGUAUCUUGUUACUUGUUUGGGUUGUUUUUACUGUGUUGACGGCCCCCAACCCAUCCAUACAAACACACACACACAAUACAUACAUAUGCUGCAAAUUUAUUGUAAUGACCACACUUCACACGUAAGAAGAAAAUUGUGAUCUUUUUGUUAUUUUCAUUCACCCCAUUUUUAUUUAUUAUUGUUGUUUGUUGGCACCAUCAAUGUGUUCUCCUUUAUACAGGACUUAUGUGGGGACCAAUAAAGUUAUAUUGUACUGAA